This 497-nucleotide ribosomal RNA is filed under the name uncultured bacterium. RNAcentral describes it as "partial 16S ribosomal RNA". It matches the Rfam family "Bacterial small subunit ribosomal RNA", at positions 28 to 507 of the family's 1533-position model. The record is from RNAcentral.
GAUGAACGCUGGCGGCGUGCCUAAUACAUGCAAGUCGAGCGAACGGACGAGAAGCUUGCUUUUCUGAUGUUAGCGGCGGGCGGGUGAGUAACACGUGGAUAACCUACCUAUAAGACUGGGAUAACUUCGGGAAACCGGAGCUAAUACCGGAUAAUAUUUUGAACCGCAUGGUUCAAAAGUGAAAGACGGUCGUGCUGUCACUUAUAGAUGGAUCCGCGCUGCAUUAGCUAGUUGGUAAGGUAACGGCUUACCAAGGCAACGAUGCAUAGCCGACCUGAGAGAGUGAUCGGCCACACUGGAACUGAGACACGGUCCAGACUCCUACGGGAGGCAGCAGUAGGGAAUCUUCCGCAAUGGGCGAAAGCCUGACGGAGCAACGCCGCGUGAGUGAUGAAGGUCUUCGGAUCGUAAAACUCUGUUAUUAGGGAAGAACAUAUGUGUAAGUAACUGUGCACAUCUUGACGGUACCUAAUCAGAAAGCCACGGCUAACUACGUG